Long non-coding RNA from Mya arenaria, 3239 nucleotides. RefSeq lists it as uncharacterized. NCBI's taxonomy places the organism in Eukaryota, Metazoa, Mollusca, Bivalvia, Myida, Myidae. The record is from RefSeq and is a predicted model, not a curated record. The transcript has 7 exons.
UUGUUUUAAAUCUUAUUAUCUUUUAAUAUCAAAAAAAAUAUUCUUAAACUUUUGUGUGUGUAUAUUUGUGUAUCCAUAAAAAUAGCUAUUAAGGCGACCAGGGAAAAAAUCAUAAUUUUGGUCAAAAAUAGCUAUAUACUAAGCAUUUUUUAUUUGUUUUACUUUAUUUAAAGCCUAUUGUAUAUUAUCCCGAAGUUUCAUUCCAUAAAAAACAGAAAUAAGGAAAUUCGAUAUUUCGUGUACCAUCAGCAUCCAAAUUUUCAAGUAUACAGAAAUUUAACUUUCCGGAAUAUAACGGAAAUUUUCGGGUAUCUCCGUGGUACCAUCUCCGUGCAAUUAUGCAGUAUGGCGUUCAUCUCUUACGGAAAGAGAAUGGUAACUUGGUAAGUGUUUAAAAUACAUAUUCAACGUUUUUUUCGUUUAUUUUUAUGACUUUUGUACAGUAGUAUAAAUCGUCCACCCUUUGGAUGAAAAGCAAAUGAUUUAUCCGGAUUUUGUUCAUCCGAAACUAAAUCACUAGUAUCAACAUCCGGUGUAAUUUUUGCUUGUAUUUUGGAGAAACUCGAUUGAUUUCUAGCAAACUUGGUUUACCACUACAUCGUCGCUUAUUAUUAUUUGUUGCUGCUUGGGACAAUAAAGUUAAGUCAGCAACCGUCUACCAGACUGCAAGAUUCAUCUCUUCCAAAGGAUGUCGUACCUUUCUAGAUACACUGUGUUUUGUGUGGAUAAGAAAUGCAGAGUGGUACCACCAAUCACCUAAGCCACCAUUCCCCUAACAGACAAUAGGCUCAUGGGGACAGUUCCUGCAAUUUACAGUAAAGUUCUCAAUUGUAGCCCUACGAACUUAAGAUACUGCCGAUGGUGAAGCUUGGGUGCACCGGGCCGGUUUUCCAGCCGUGUGGAAUCUCCAGCUGAACUGGGGCCGGGAAUUAUAUAAGACUCCUUAGCAGCAUGAGUGCCAGCCAGUCAUUGCUGUUCUUGCAUUGCUGAGGAGGACAGUCCUGCCAACAUAACAGUUUGUUCAAUAACAGGAGACAAACAGAAACACAGAGGUGCUAUACAUUCUGAUGGAAAAACAAAAGCAUCUCCCAUCAUUUUGGCGUGGCUCAGAUCAAGAGGAGAAUUUUAAGAAAGGUGAUGGUUGGGCACACACAAGAAGACAUAGAUCACAGGUGUCUAGCCAUAUGAGUAGAUAGGAGUGUCACACUCUGCCAAACUUACUUCAUCAGACGAGCAGAAAGCUUCUCAAGAUCCCGCACUGCACACUAAGACAUAGUCUUUGACUACAACAAGGUGAUGAAAGUACAGAGGUCCAAUUGAAAUCAAUUCUGUGCUGCUGUCAUUUCUUCAUUCUGGAAGUCGAUGGACAUGAUUUAUUAUGGCAUCAAGUGUGCAGUUUGCCGACUAUCAGCAGUCUUGUUCACCAGCUGUGCAACUUGAGCUGGUAGCUUUAUUGCUUAAAGCCACUGCAUAAGAGGGGGAAGGUGCAGGCUCAUCAAAAAGUCUCAAAAGUUGAAACUAGGAAAAGAAGUUUAUCAAGAGUGUGAAUCUAUUUUGAAAACAAUCGUUACAAUGAUUUGGUUUCCUUUGAAACUUCAUACAUACUAUGAAUUGAGAUGCUUAAAUAAAAAACCGCUAUUCAAAUAUCAGGAAACUGCCUUUUUCAUACUAAAGGGUAAAUGAUGUCGCCAUUUCCUGUAUGUAUUUAAAUAAGAUAUGUCUCCACAAUUAAUAUUUUUAGGGAAUUUUUCUCAACCUAAUGAAUGAGAUUAAAUUGUACAGCGUUAUAUGAGGUUAAUAUGUUUUCUCAUUCUUUAAAAUUGGUGAAAAAUUUUCAGAAGAUAAUUAGACCAGUAUCCAUUACUGCAAUCAUACAAUCAAAUAUACAGGGACAAGCCCACUGGGCAUAUAAUAUAAUUAAACCCUGUUUAGGGGCACGAGGCAAACAGAGUUACUUUCAAACAAUAAAGCUGCACUCUCACACUUUGGAUGUUUUGACAACUUUUUUCAUUUUAUGUCUUGGAUUGGAACCAUCCAAUUUUUGCGAACAAUUAAAUCCCAGAUUUUUCUAUUUAAGUUAAAACAUUGAUAUUUUUUAUGCACUUUUCUUAAACCGUUAGUAACAUUAAUUUUCGAACGGAAAUAUGAAAUCUGCGAUCUGAUCUUUUGUCAGCAAUCUUUUAUCAUUGGUUUGCAGAUAAAUACGCAAAAACUUGCUCAUUCGAAGACAAAAAAAGUUGUGGAAAUGGUAUAUCUGUGAGAGCUGCAGCUCUAAAUGUUUAAUUGCUUGAUUUUACUACUGUAUUAGAAAUUACAGGGAUUGGGGUAUAUUUUUAGUGUUUUUAUUGCUUGUUUUUGAUUCAUACAGUCAUACUUUAUACUUCAGGGCACAACUUACAAAUAAACAAAACUGGAAAAUGGUCAUAUCAAAAGGUCAAAGAUAAUGCAAGUUGAACAAUCAUAUUGUUCAUGGCUUGUAUUUUUGGUAUAUUUUGUUGCAUAUGCUAUAGAAAAGUUGAAAGUUAAAAAUAAAUUCAUAGUUGAAAUGAUGGCUUUGAAUGAUAUUGUCAGAUGAGAAACGGCACUAUUAAGAAAUAGGUAUAAUGGUACUUUAUUUAUUUUAAUCAAUUUUAGAUAUUAUGAAAAUUAUUAUCUUAUUUUGUACAUGAGACCUUUUAAACAGUUAUUGACAAUAUAACAAUGUGUAUAUGAAGCUUUAGAUCAAAACUUAAAGCUGCACUUUCACAGAUUGUCAGUUUAGACACAAAAUUGUCUCAAAAUCGGCUGAUUUGGUUAUCAUUCCUUUAAUUCAGUCAUAUUAGAUAAUUCACAAUAGAACCAAUCAAAAAUGUUUGGUAAAACUGCCGAAAAAGUAAUUUACAUUAAAUUGUUUGUAUGCUUUUAGUCAUAAAACAUCAUUUUUUUAACAUAAAUAUGAUGAACUGCAAUCUGAUCUUUUUUCAGCAGUCUUAUAUCACUUAAAAUUGGGUCUAGACAUUUCUGCAAAAAAAUACUCCAUUUAUUGACAAACAAUAAAAGAGUACCGGUAGUCAAAACGAUCAUUCGGUGAGAUUGCAGCUUUAAAUACACCUUUUAAGACCGCCGUAAAAUUCCAAUGGUUUGCCUAAAUCUUUAAAGCUAGCAUACUGUUUAAUUGACAACCAUACUUAUUGUUUAAAAUAUGUCAUGAUAUCUUUGUACAAUGUGUUUAUAUAAUUCAUUAAAGAAGUCAAAACAAA